GGCUUCGUGAUCGAGUGGUAAGUACAUUUGCUUCUUACCCCGGAGUCCCGGGUUCGAACCCCGAUCGAGAAGCUA
Molecule: non-coding RNA, 75 nt
Organism: Rhamnusium bicolor
Lineage: Eukaryota; Metazoa; Arthropoda; Insecta; Coleoptera; Cerambycidae
Source: the annotation of a GenBank genome assembly